AAUAGAGAAAUCAGAACCUGAAACACUAUUUUAUCUGCUUUGCAAAUGAGAACAUGUUUGUCUGAGAUGUCAGAAUCGCUGUCAUCAAGUCACUAUUGUUGCAAAUAGAACUAUGGAUUUACAUUCCUCAGGUCACAUUUGUCGCAAAUAGACCCAUUGCACAAAAUAAAGAAGAGAAUGAAACAAUGACUACUAGAGUCUUGACAUCCCAAUCAAGGAGCGCAAUGAAAGGAGCAAUUUAAUCUACUCAUAUAGUGAGUUAAAUGGUUUAGCAUUGCACAUUGUGAAAUAUCAUCUACUUGCAAGUAGUUGUAGUAUUUCAUCUACCUAAAGUAUAUUUGUUUUAUGGUUUGUUAUUUUAUUGGUCAUCCAUGAUUUGUUUUAUUUUUUGAGAAAAUGUCUGUUCAGUUUUCUUGGAUUUCGGAUUUCUUAAUAAGGUAUGUUG
This 445-nucleotide long non-coding RNA is filed under the name Physcomitrium patens. RNAcentral describes it as "long non-coding RNA (PPAT_LNC007069)". The record is from RNAcentral. Lineage: Eukaryota; Viridiplantae; Streptophyta; Bryopsida; Funariales; Funariaceae.